RNAcentral lists this ribosomal RNA (630 nucleotides) under uncultured Methylobacter sp. RNAcentral describes it as "bacterial SSU rRNA". It matches the Rfam family "Bacterial small subunit ribosomal RNA", at positions 202 to 820 of the family's 1533-position model. Lineage: Bacteria; Pseudomonadati; Pseudomonadota; Gammaproteobacteria; Methylococcales; Methylococcaceae. The record is from RNAcentral.
AGGGGAUCUUCGGACCUUUCGCUAUGAGAUGAGCCUGCGUUAGAUUAGCUAGUUGGUAGGGUGAAGGCCUACCAAGGCGACGAUCUAUAGCUGGUCUGAGAGGACGAUCAGCCACACUGGGACUGAGACACGGCCCAGACUCCUACGGGAGGCAGCAGUGGGGAAUAUUGGACAAUGGGCGAAAGCCUGAUCCAGCAAUACCGCGUGUGUGAAGAAGGCCUUAGGGUUGUAAAGCACUUUCAAUUGGGAGGAAAACCUGCCGGCCAAUACCCGGUAGCUUGACAUUACCUUUAGAAGAAGCACCGGCUAACUCCGUGCCAGCAGCCGCGGUAAUACGGAGGGUGCGAGCGUUAAUCGGAAUUACUGGGCGUAAAGCGUGCGUAGGCGGUUCGUUAAGUCAGAUGUGAAAGCCCUGGGCUCAACCCGGGAACUGCAUUUGAAACUGGCGGACUAGAGUUUAGUAGAGGGGAGUGGAAUUUCAGGUGUAGCGGUGAAAUGCGUAGAUAUCUGAAGGAACACCAGUGGCGAAGGCGACUCCCUGGACUAGAACUGACGCUGAGGUACGAAAGCGUGGGUAGCAAACAGGAUUAGAUACCCUGGUAGUCCACGCCGUAAACGAUGUCGACUAGC